GCUUUGAAGGCCCAAGAGAAGGGCAUCUGGUCUUGUAAAUCAGAAGAGAGGGUUAAAGUCCCUCUCAAGGCU
RNAcentral lists this transfer RNA (72 nucleotides) under Diadema setosum. RNAcentral's name for it is "tRNA-Thr". It matches the Rfam family "tRNA". Rfam says of the family: Transfer RNA (tRNA) molecules are approximately 80 nucleotides in length. Lineage: Eukaryota; Metazoa; Echinodermata; Echinoidea; Diadematoida; Diadematidae. The record is from RNAcentral.